CUCUCCUAAGGUGAGAGAGAGAGUGAUGCUGUUAGUGGCAGUGUGCUGUCCCUCAGCACAUGGCAGGAUAGCAGAGCUGUGAACUGAGACCCUUUUGUGCAAACUUCCUUCCCCUCCCCAAACGAAUUUACCAGAAGGGGGGAUCCUGUGCAUUAACUGUGUCUCUCGUGUCCUUAUAGUGUUUCCGUCUUUGUGAGAAUUGCAAAAUACCCGUGUGUGAUCCUACAGGCCUUUGUACAUUUAGAUUUAGAGAAAGAGGUGGCACAGYGUGGAACUGAAAGCRCGCUCCUGAGAUCACUUAGCCUGCRGUAUUGACAGUUUAUUUCAGAGAUCUUCUGCGUGGAACAGGCUGUCUGGUGCUGUAGCAUGGCUAAUAGUAUUCCUCCCAUGGUUGCCUUUCAGUAUUAAGCGAAGGAAAUGCAAUAAGAAUCCCAGGUAGAACUUGCUACAAGCAUCUUGUUUUCGCAGUGCUAAAGAAUCGAAGAAUUUCCAGUGUGGGCACUAAUGCUGGUAGCUGGGCAUGCUGCAUGUGCGGCAGCGUGCU
This 544-nucleotide long non-coding RNA is filed under the name Apteryx rowi (Okarito brown kiwi). RNAcentral describes it as "lncRNA (ENSARWG00000005741.1)". Lineage: Eukaryota; Metazoa; Chordata; Aves; Apterygiformes; Apterygidae. The record is from RNAcentral.